This 16299-nucleotide long non-coding RNA is filed under the name Zea mays. RNAcentral describes it as "long non-coding RNA (ZMAY_LNC004456)". The record is from RNAcentral. Lineage: Eukaryota; Viridiplantae; Streptophyta; Magnoliopsida; Poales; Poaceae.
GGGUGGUAGGCCAAGUCACACCAUCAACCAUAUCCUGAAUUGUACCUGCAAAAAUUAUGCCACAAGCAAGGCUGAGUAUACUAAUACUCAGCUAGACUUACCCGGUGUGAGGAAUCUACUCCUCUACCUCUAGACUAUGCAGUUGUUUGGCUGAGGGGUUUGGUUUGCCAAGAGCACUAGCUGUUUCUAAAAUCAAUUCUUAGCUUUUCAAAUUCUAGUAUUAUUAUUUUAGCUACGUUUGCUCCUUCUAAACAUACAUGGUAACAAGCAUUUAGUUCAAUCAACAAAUUGUCUCAUGUAACCUCAUUUCACUUCUUACUCGAUGUAGUACAAGGGGUCAAGCAGUCUUAUUAGCUGCGAGAAGCAGACGAUUCGAAUCGAGUUUUAUCCUUGCAAGGUAAACCUAAACACACGACAUGUCAGGGCACUCCGUCCCCACACAUGUCAAUCGUCCCCAUCGAUUCCCCGUUCGCGUCCAGGCCUCACCGCCUUGGCAUACAAUGCUCCACUGACCCUGGCUGCCGCCGUGCAGUGACCGCACUUGUACCCACCAUAGCUAGCAUGGGUGACCCAGUCUCAGGUCGCGUGAGGGAUAAAGUCCGCGCCCGGCUUCACUCAGGUACUAGGUUUACCGGUUACCAUAUUUCCAGACAUGUGCUUAGUACGUUCAAAAGCUUGACUCAGGUAUCCACACAUUAAUCCUUAAUUCCGUUUUCCCGUCUCAUGGUCAAGGCAUCCUCCCUGGAUCCAAGUCCAUAGACUAACAUAGAUCCCGUUAUCAAGAUGAAUACAAUCAAUUCCUCACCUCACGCGAGUGCUAGAAAAAUCACUCGACUUCUACCGAGAUCCUGAUUAGCAAAGCAGCUACUCGACCUAGCAUACUAGUAUUCAUCUCAAAAAGGAAUCCUAAGUUCAUGCAACUAGAGGUUUCAAGCAACUCCUACACUUAAGUGCACAUUACAACCCUACAGACAUUAAGUGUAGUAAAGUAGCAUAUAAUAAUACGGUUAUUGUAAUACCCAAAAAUGUAAAUAGUGAAAAUAGAGAAGAGCUCAAGAUUUUUUGUGAUCUAUACUUAUCAUCACAUGUGAACACCUCAUUUAAAAAUAAAUAAUUAAUACAAAGACACAUCACUAAAUUGUGCAUUAUGUUGGCUUUUAAUUGUUUGUGCACUCAAUAAUAGUCACAACAACAUGAAUAAAAUAAUAAACAAAUUAUAAAUAUAAAGACUAACUUGAAUAUUUGAAAAGGAGAAAUAAUCAAAAGGAAAGAAAGAAAGAAAAGGAGUAUACAAAUAUAAAUGAAAAUAAAUAUAUUUCUAAAACUGGUAUUUUUUUUGUGAUCUGUGAGAUCUGAAAACCAAAUUCUAAUUCAAAUAGUAGGUUUGAAUUUAGUAAAGGAAAUUCAAAAUAAAACCAACUGGAAAAUGAAAAAAGGCUAACCUAAAUGGGCCUGCGGCACUCCCAUUUAGCCCAGCUCCCCUUUUAUACCCGCGCGGUCCACUCAGCCGACCAGCGCGCCUGGCUAAACCCUAGCCGCCAGGCUUCUUGCCGCGCCAUCCACUCCCUGCUCUUCAUGACUGGUGUGUGGGCCCCGUUCGCCAGAUCGUAGUUGUGCGUGCCGCCAUGGCUGUUGCCGCAUCACGCGCACGUUGAAUCAUUGGCGACCACUGGAUUGUGGGGUCCGCUUCCCAGACUCUCGCAUGCCAAGUCGUUCUUCCUUCCCUGGAUGUUGCAUCUGGGCCAUUUUCCUCGCCGUUGUGGCCGCCUGUUGAUCAUCGUAGCCGUUCUCUCCCUGGCAUCUCGCGCCCUCAGCCCAGGUGUCCGCGCCUGACUCGAUCAUCGUCCCGGCGCGAUUCGCGGUCGAGCUCAACGAACUCCGCCAUGCGCGCAACCGACCGAACCAGGUGCCACCUGAUCUCCCUUCUCCGGCUGCAUAAACAUUGGACCACCUCCGCCUCUGUCGUGUGCUCGUCGUUCCGCGCUUCUCCCCUACCCAGUCCUACAUCCCUCCCCAUCUGCCAUCUUGGAAUCCCCCUGCUCCUACAUAAUCAUCAAGCCGUGACGUGCCGCCAGCGUGAACCACUCCAUCCCUGGCCAGUACCCACCUCGAGUCAAGCUUAACACUGCGUGACCACUCUUCCCUCUGGUGGUGACCGCGCGGACCGGUGCUCGCCGAGCUCCUGGAGGGACGUCUCGGCGUAGUACCACUCGCCAUCGUGGCCUGCAACCCUUCCGCGUCGUUGACAACCGGCUCGCCUUAAUCAUGGUACCUCCCUCUGUGCUUGCUUUGAGCUCUGCUUUGUAUAGCGCUGUUCCUGGGUGGAGUUCGACGACCGGACUGGGGAUUUGGGGUGGCGGCAAUGGGCAACGCCGCCGGGCGCUGUCGGGUGGAUGAAGGUGACACGGUGGCCUUCGAUCCUUAAUGGACAACUGUGAUUAAGUACCGCGUACAAGUUUGGUCAGAUUGUCUGGACACCGAUGGCGGGACUCCUGCGGUGGGUUGUGCCAUGGGCGCGUCCGCCUGUGCGGCGUAAGCCGGCCCCAACAAUGGCUUAUGGAGGAAGAAGCCGCUUGGCCGUGGGAUGGACAGUUCGCGGCCGAGAUCGAAUCGAUGAUACCCCUUUGUCUGAUAGAAUCUUAACCGUAGAUCUUGGAUCCGACGAUUAGGAAGGAGUGCAGGAUAUUAGCUAGCUCAAAUCUAAUCGGAUCCGUCCACCUCAGAUCGGGCGGGCCAGAUUCGAGGAUACCCCUUCGGGCUGCCCAGUUUUCAAAAGAGCCCUCGGUUUUCUCUCAAAUAAACCCGCAGUCCGUCCUGUGGUUGCCUGUGUCUUAGUGCAAAUUGCGCCAGGGCCCCUGUAUUUCCGUUUAUUAGUGCGCCCAGUCCAGAGAGUUAGAAAAAUCAGAAAACAAAUAUAGAAUUGGAUUUUUAAUGUAGAAAUAAAUGCUAGAAUUGGUUUAAUUCAUAGAAAAUUCAUAUGUAGUCCAAAUUUAUCCAUUUCAGUUUCUAUAAUUUUGUAAUAAUGUUGUUUAUCACCCUGUGUCUCUGUUUUAACAUGAAAAUGGUAUUAAAAUUUAUUUCUUAAUUAACCUCGUAUCAAAUACAUAAAACCUUAGGAAAUUCGUAUCUCCUCCGCUUUAACUCCGAUUUGAUCCGUUCAAAGUUGCAUUAGUCUCGUAGCUUUGUGUAGAUCAUUGUUAUACAUUUUGUUCUUAUGUUUGGUGUGAUGUUAAUUUUAUCUAUACCAUGUUUGUUUGUAUUGCUACGACUAGCACGAGGACACGUGUCAUCUGAAAAGCAAGUUGGUACUAGAAUCUCAAGUGCCAGGCAAGUUGUGCCCUUGAUUCACUUUGUUACCUAAUAAUGUUCUUUAUAAUCAUUUACCAUGCAUAGGUUUAAUUUUGAUGGGACCCAAUAGGUCACCCUAGAUUGUUUAUCCCAUUACCUUGUUUACCCCUGAAUCACAUGGGUAGUUUUUGCUAUUGCUUUAUAUGAUUUUGGGAUAAUCAUUUAUUAUAUCCAUGUUCCAGUUAUUAUGUUAUUUUAUUUAUGUUCAUGUCAAGAUCAUUAUAUUAUUGUUAAUUGGAACAUGGAGCUUAACUUGAGAAACACGUGCCACCACAAGGGUUUAAUGGGACGCCCUUGGCCAACUAACUAGGGAAGCUAGUGGAAGACUACCUUACCCGAAAGGGGCAAGGGCAGUAGGGGAGUGGUCAGUGUAGGGAGGUCCUUGGAUGAUUUUGCUGCGAUGGCGGUCAGACAAGAACCCCGCAUUGGAACUUCCUAUAAACUGUAGCGGGUUUUCGGAAGCUAGUGGAACUUUGUAAAGGCCUCGUAGUGGAUCUCUAGCCAUUCACCUCGGUAGUGUCUAAGGGCCUAGCUAACCCUGGCGACAUGGGAUACACGACUUGUGGGUAAAGGGUACAACCUCUGCAGAGUGUAAAACUGGUAUACUAGCGGAGCUCAUGGUCAUGAGCGGCUCAGGACUCUCCGAUGAUUAAACUAUGGAACCUAAAUUCAAUUUUGUCAUUUGCAUAUGCAUGGGUUUAUUAUUAAUUUUGUUCUAUUAUGUUAUUAUGGUUUGGUAUUCACUUACACUUAGUAACUGCUAAUAAAAUUUUGACCAACUUUAAAAGCAAUGCUCAGCUUUAACCUUUCCCUUUGGUAAGCCUUACACCUUACAUGAUCUCCCACCUUUGUGAGUUCAUGCCACAUUAUUCCCCACAACUUGUUGAGCGAUGAACAUGUGUGAGCUCACCCUUGCUGUCUCACACCCCCCACAGGAGAAGAACAGGUGGUUCAGGAGGAGCCUCAAAGCGAGGAGUUUGAUCUGAUCUAGGUGGCGUUUCUCAGUAGACAUUGGCGCCGACGAUCCUUAGUUCGUUUUAUAUUUAUUCUUUUAUUUUGUAAUAAGUCUUCCGCUAUGUAAUAAAUACUCUGAUGUUUUGUGACAUCUAUCUCUAUACACUCUGUUAUUAUAUGUGUUGUCUUUGGCGCAUGUAUGAGAUGCACCCGGCUUUGUUCCUUAAAGCCGGGUGUGACAGAAGUGGUAUCAAAGGAAAUGUUGACUGUAGGACGAGACCUAGAUAGAAAUGGACAAAACCCUUACCUACUUACCUUACUCUGAUUCAUUCUAUACUUAUCUUAUCUUGAUCCUGUCUCACCUUUUGCUGUCAUACUCUGAUUACUCUUAUCUUUUCUGCUCUAAGACAAGAUGGAUUUCACACCUUGGAAUCCCACAUUUAUGAACUUCUUAAGAGAUAGGAGACCUAAGACAAAAAUUAAAACUAUUUUCUCUAUUAAAAAAUGUUGGUUGAUUGUUCUGAUGAUAAAUGCUUGAUUUGCUUCUUUGAUUGAUUGAAACAUUAUAGUUGGGCAUCUUAGCAUGUACCACCAUAAGGUAAUGUAUUAGCUUUAGUGGAUAACACACUAAUCUACUUAGCUAAUAAAUCACCUGCAGUAACAUUUCUCGUAAUUACACGCCUUGUCUACAAUUCUUUCUUUCUUACCCUGAGUUUCUAACCCAGAUGGGCUACCCCUAUAGUGUUAGAAGAGAGCACUAUAGACGUGAUCCUUGGUAUGUUAUGGUUAAAAAUAAGGCAAAGGUAAUUUAUACACUAUGCUAAAGGAACCGUAGAACUCACCAGUUCCAAAGGACAAAGCUUUGAAGUUGAAGUUGCAGUAACUACCACCAUCAGACUAGCAGCAUUCUUAGUAGAUGGGAAGUUUGUUGGUGUCAACAUCCGUGUGGUUAGAGAUUUUUCGGAUGUCUUUCUAGAGGAGUUACCAGGGAUGCCACCAGAUAGGGAAGUUGAGUUUGUCAUGGAUCUCUUACCUGGGACUGCUCCUAUUUCUAAACGGCUAUACAGAAUGUCUGUAGAAGAACUAAAGGAACUUAAGAAGCAAUUAAUGGAAUUACAAGAGGCUAGGUACAUUCGUUCGGAUUCCUCACCUUGGGGGAGCGCCAGAUCUAUUUGUACAGAAGAAAGAUGGAUCGUAAGGGAUGUGCGUGGAUUAUAGGUCCCUUAAUGAUGUUACUGUGAAGAACAAGUAUCUGUUACCCCGCAUUGAAGAUUUAUUUGAUCAGAUGAGAGAUGCAAGGGUAUUCUCGAAGAUUGAACUCUGACCGGGUUAUCACCAAAUGAAGAUUUGGCCAUCGGAUAUUUCCAAGACAAUUUUAUCGACCCGAUAUGGUUUCAAUGUUAUGUCGUUUGGAUUAACCAAUGCACCAGCCUAUUUUAUGGAUCUGAAGAAUAAGGUGUUCAUGAUCUGGACAGAUUCGUCGUGGUUUUCAUCGAUGAUAUUCUUAUUUAUUCCAAGAGUGAUAGUGAUCAUGAGAAGCAUCUGAGAUUGGUGCUACAGAAGUUACGAGAUAAUCAACUCUAUGCCAAGUACAGCAAAUGCGAGUUCUGGAUUGACGAGGUGCCAUUUCUUGGACAUAUCAUUUUUAAUGGAGGAAUAUCAGUGGAUCCUGCUAAAAGUCAAGGAGAUAGUGGCAUGGAGCAUACCCACUAUAGUUACUGAGGUCCGGAGUUUCUUGGGAGUUGCCGGAUAUUAUUGGAGAUUUAUUGAAGGAUUUUCUAAGGUUGCUAAGCCUAUGACCUUGCUUUUGGAGAAAGGAAGAGAAUUCAAGUGGGAUGAGAAAUGCCAAGAGAGUUUUGAUCAAUUGAAAGAGAGAUUGAUGCCACCACCAGUAUUGAUUAUGCCAGAUCUACAGAAGGGAUUUGACAUUUAUUGUGAUGCAUGUGGCCAAGGAUUAGGAUGUGUACUUAUGCGAGAAGGACAUGUGAUUGCCUACGCGUCUCGUCAGUUACAGAAACAAGAAUUGAACCACCCCACUCAUGACUUAGAACUGGCAGCCGUUGUGCAUGCGCUUAAGAUUUGGAGACAUUAUAUUAUGGGAAGCAAGUGUCAAGUAUGCAUGGAUCAUAAGAGUUUGAAGUAUAUGUUCACUUAGAAGGAUCUCAACCUUAGGCAACGCCGUUGGUUGGAGCUUAUUAAGGAUUAUGAUUUGGAGAUUCACUAUCACCCGGGCAAAGAAAAUUUGGUUGCAGAUGCCUUGAGUCGAAAGGAGCAUGUUCAUUCAGUUGUUGUUGCCCAGCUACCCGAUGAGAUUGUUGAGGAUUUCAGGAGACUUAACCUGGGGAUAGUUGCUCACACUGAAGGAGUUACUAUUGAUGUGGAAUCUACUUUGGAACAAGAAAUCCACAAAGGACAAAUUGAUGAUGCUAAGAUACAAGAGAUCAAAGAUCUGAUUACUGAAGGUCGAGGUCCAGAAUUCACGGAUGAUGAGCAAAGCACAAUAUGGUUCAAGGAUCGGAUAUGAGCUCGUGAGAUUGAAAGCCUUCGUGAGACUAUACUGAGGGAAGCCCAUGACUUGGAUUAUUCUAUUCAUCAUGGGAGUACGAAGAUGUAUCAAGAUUUGAAGUAGAAGUUCUGGUUGUAUGGAUUGAAGAGAGAUGUGGCUGCACAUGUGGCUAUGUGCGAUGUGUGUCAAAGAGUUAAGGCUGAACACCAGAGACCAGCUGGACUACUGCAUCCACUGAAGAUACCCGAGUGGAAGUGGGGAGAGAUUGGUAUGAAUUUUAUUACUGGAUUGCCUCGUACCUCAAAAGGAUAUGAUUCUAUAUGGGUUAUUGUGGAUAGACUGGCCAAAGUGGCUCAUUUCAUUCCGGUCAAAGACUACUUAUAAGUGAUCUCAACUGGCAGAGUUAUAUAUGGAACGGAUUAUGUCUCUACACAGUGUACCAAAAAAAUCGAUUUGGAUAGAGGAUCACAGUUUACCCCCAGAUUUUGAAAAAGUUUUUAUGAGAAUAUGGAUGUGAAGUUGAAUUUAGUUCGGCCUACCUCAGACUGAUGGAUAGACUGAAAGGACUAAUCAAGUAUUGGAAGGCAUGUUGAGAGCUUGUGCCCUUCGGCAUGGUAGUAGUAGGGACAAGAGUCUACCUUAUGCUGAGUUCUUAUAUAAUAAUAGUUACCAGGCCAGUCUGAAGAUGUUACCGUUCGAGACUCUGUGUGGUAGGAAAUGCAGGACUCCUCUAUAUUGGGAUAAGACUAGAGGAAGACAGUUCUUUGGACCUAAACUUAUUCAAGAGGUAGAAGAACAAAUCCAUAUAAUUCGGGAGAAUUUGAGGGCAGCUCAGACCAGACAAAAGAGCUACGCUGAUAAUAGAAGACCACUGGAAUCUGAGGAUGGUGAUCAUGUGUACCUCAAGUGUCACCACUUCGUGGAAUGAGAAGAUUCAAAGUCAAGGGCAAAUUGUCCCCUCGCUUUAUUGGACCAGUCGGAGUUUUUAGGCAAGUUGGAGACAGGGCCUAUCAACUCGAGCUACCUAAUAAUCUAUCUGAUGUGCAUAAUGUGUUCCAUGUGUCACAACUUAAGAAGCGUCUCCGUGUUCCUGAGGAACAGCUACCAAUGGAAGAGCCCAGUGUUCAGAGUGAUUUGACUUACAUGGAGUACCCUGUCAAGAUUCUUGAUACAUUGACUCAAGUUACAAGGAAUAAAGUGAUAAAGAUGUGCAAAGUUCAAUGGAGUCACCACGGAGAAGACGAAGCUACAUGGGAAAGAGAAGAAGAGCUCCGCAUAGAUUUUCCCAUUGUUUUCCUAGUUCUUCCUAAAUCUCGAGGACGAGAUUCUUUUUAAGGGGGGUAGAAUUUGUAAUACCCAAAAAUGUAAAUAGUGAAAAUAGAGAAGAGCUCAAGAUUUUUUGUGAUCUAUACUUAUCAUCACAUGUGAACACCUCAUUUAAAAAUAAAUAAUUAAUACAAAGACACAUCACUAAAUUGUGCAUUAUGUUGGCUUUUAAUUGUUUGUGCACUCAAUAAUAGUCACAACAACAUGAAUAAAAUAAUAAACAAAUUAUAAAUAUAAAUACUAACUUGAAUAUUUGAAAAGGAGAAAUAAUCAAAAGGAAAGAAAGAAAGAAAAGGAGUAUAAAAAUAUAAAUGAAAAUAAAUAUAUUUCUAAAACUGGUAUUUUUUUUGUGAUCUGUGAGAUCUGAAAACCAAAUUCUAAUUCAAAUAGUAGGUUUGAAUUUAGUAAAGGAAAUUCAAAAUAAAACCAAAUGGAAAAUGAAAAAAAGGCUAACCUAAAUGGGCCUGCGGCACUCCCAUUUAGCCCAGCUCCCCUUUUAUACCCGCGCGGUCCACUCAGCCGACCAGCGCGCCUGGCUAAACCCUAGCCGCCAGGCUUCUCGCCGCGCCAUCCACUCCCUCCUCUCCACGACUGGUGUGUGGGCCCCGUUCGCCAGAUCGUAGUUGUGCGUGCCGCCAUGGCUGUUGCUGCAUCACGCGCACGUUGAAUCAUUGGCGACCACUGGAUUGUGGGGUCCGCUUCCCAGACUCUCGCAUGCCAAGUCGUUCUUCCUUCCCUGGAUGUUGCAUCGGGGCCAUUUUCCUCGCCGUUGUGGCCGCCUGUUGAUCAUCGUAGCCGUUCUCUCCCUGGCAUCUCGCGCCCUCAGCCCAGGUGUCCGCGCCUGACUCGAUCAUCGUCCCGGCGCGAUUCGCGGUCGAGCUCAACGAACUCCGCCAUGCGCGCAACCGACCGAACCAGGUGCCACCCGAUCUCCCUUCUCCGGCUGCAUAAACAUUGGACCACCUCCGCCUCUGUCAUGUGCUCGUCGUUCCGCGCUUCUCCCCUACCCAGUCCUACAUCCCUCCCCGUCUGCCAUCUUGGAAUCCCCUUGCUCCUACAUAAUCAUCAAGCCGUGACGCGCCGCCAGCGUGAACCACUCCAUCCCUGGCCAGUACCCACCUCGAGUCAAGCUUAACACUGCGUGACCACUCUUCCCUCUGGUGGUGACCGCGCGGACCGGUGCUCGCCGAGCUCCUAGAGGGACGUCUCGGCGUAGUACCACGCGCCAUCGUGGCCUGCAAUCCUUCCGCGUCGUUGACAACCGGCUCGCCUUAAUCAUGGUACCUCCCUCUGUGCUUGCUUUGAGCUCUGCUUUGUAUAGCGCUGUUCCUGGGUGGAGUUCGACGACCGGACUGGGGAUUUGGGGUGGCGGCACUGGGCAACGCCGCCGGGCGCUGUCGGGUGGAUGAAGGUGACACGGUGGCCUUCGAUCCUUAAUGGACAACUGUGAUUAAGUACCGCGUACAAGUUUGGUCAGAUUGUCUGGACACCGAUGGCGGGACUCCUGCGGUGGGUUGUGCCAUGGGCGCGUCCGCCUGUGCGACGUAAGCCGGCCCCAGCAAUGGCUUAUGGAGGAAAAAGCCGCUUGGCUGUGGGAUGGACAGUUCGCGGCCGAGAUCGAAUCGAUGAUACCCCUUUAUCUGAUAGAAUCUUAACCGUAGAUCUUGGAUCCGGCGAUCAGGAAGGAGUGCGGGAUAUUAGCUAGCUCAAAUCUAAUCGGAUCCGUCCACCUCAGAUCGGGCGGGCCAGAUUCGAGGAUACCCCUUCGGGCUGCCCAGUUUUCAAAAGAGCCCUCGGUUUUCUCUCAAAUAAACCCGCAGUCCGUCCUGUGGUUGCCUGUGUCUUAGUGCAAAUUGCGCCAGGGCCCCUGUAUUUCUGUUUAUUAGUGCGCCCAGUCCAGAGAGUUAGAAAAAUCAGAAAACAAAUAUAGAAUUGGAUUUUUAAUGUAGAAAUAAAUGCUAGAAUUGGUUUAAUUCAUAGAAAAUUCAUAUGUAGUCCAAAUUUAUCCAUUUCAGUUUCUAUAAUUUUGUAAUAAUGUUGUUUAUCACCCUGUGUCUCUGUUUUAACAUGAAAAUGGUAUUAAAAUUUAUUUCUUAAUUAACCUCGUAUCAAAUACAUAAAACCUUAGGAAAUUCGUAUCUCCUCCGCUUUAACUCCGAUUUGAUCCGUUCAAAGUUGCAUUAGUCUCGUAGCUUUGUGUAGAUCAUUGUUAUACAUUUUGUUCUUAUGUUUGGUGUGAUGUUAAUUUUAUCUAUACCAUGUUUGUUUGUAUUGCUACGACUAGCGCGAGGACACGUGUCAUCUGAAAAGCAAGUUGGUACUAGAAUCUCAAGUGCCAGGCAAGUUGUGCCCUUGAUUCACUUUGUUACCUAAUAAUGUUCUUUAUAAUCAUUUACCAUGCAUAGGUUUAAUUUUGAUGGGACCCAAUAGGUCACCCUAGAUUGUUUAUCCCAUUACCUUGUUUACCCCUGAAUCACAUGGGUAGUUUUUUCUAUUGCUUUAUAUGAUUUUGGGAUAAUCAUUUAUUAUAUCCAUGUUCCAGUUAUUAUGUUAUUUUAUUUAUGUUCAUGUCAAGAUCAUUAUAUUAUUGUUAAUUGGAACAUGGAGCUUAACUUGAGAAACACGUGCCACCACAAGGGUUUAAUGGGACGCCCUUGGCCAACUAACUAGGGAAGAUAGUGGAAGACUACCUUACCCGAAAGGGGCAAGGGCAGUAGGGGAGUGGUCAGUGUAGGGAGGUCCUUGGAUGAUUUUGCUGCGAUGGCGGUCAGACAAGAACCCUGCAUUGGAACUUCCUAUAAACUGUAGCGGGUUUUCGGAAGCUAGUGGAACUUUGUAAAGGCCUCGUAGUGGAUCCCUAGCCAUUCACCUCGGUAGUGUCUAAGGGCCUAGCUAACCCUGGCGACAUGGGAUACACGACUUGUGGGUAAAGGGUACAACCUCUGCAGAGUGUAAAACUGGUAUACUAGCCGAGCUCACGGUCAUGAGCGGCCCAGGACUCUCCGAUGAUUAAACUAUGGAACCUAAAUUCAAUUUUGUCAUUUGCAUAUGCAUGGGUUUAUUAUUAAUUUUGUUCUAUUAUGUUAUUAUGGUUUGGUAUUCACUUACACUUAGUAACUGCUAAUAAAAUUUUGACCAACUUUAAAAGCAAUGCUCAGCUUUAACCUUUCCCUUUGGUAAGCCUUACACCUUACAUGAUCUCCCACCUUUGUGAGUUCAUGCCACAUUAUUCCCCACAACUUGUUGAGCGAUGAACAUGUGUGAGCUCACCCUUGCUGUCUCACACCCCCCCCACAGGAGAAGAACAGGUGGUUCAGGAGGAGCCUCAAAGCGAGGAGUUUGAUCUGAUCUAGGUGGCGUUUCUCAGUAGACAUUGGCGCCGACGAUCCUUAGUUCAUUUUAUAUUUAUUCUUUUAUUUUGUAAUAAGUCUUCCGCUAUGUAAUAAAUACUCUGAUGUUUUGUGACAUUUAUCUCUAUACACUCUGUUAAAUAGCUGGGGCUGCGGGGAGAUCCUCGAUAGCAACCUCAGGAGCUUGCUCCUGGUCCUCCUCUUGGACAGUUCCUUGCUCGGGGAUGAGCACGUACUCUCCGUCGGCGAGAUUACAAUCUAAUGAAUGCAAUGCGUAAGAUACAUGCAUGAUAUGAUAUGUGCUUUAGUAAUUUAAACUUUUGAUGGUGUAUGAUCUACUUGAGUUAGAUAGAGCUAAAUCUUGCUUAUACGAGAUUUUUGGUGGUAUACUUGGUAAUUUGGAUCAAACUUAGCUAAGUUAAGUGGUAGGUUUAUUUUUGGGGUUCCACUGAAUUCUUUUUAAGGUCUUCAGUGAGAAUUGCCAAGAAUUCAAGUUGGACUUAUUGGAGUGAGGUUUAUCUUUCCUCUUUUUCCCUUGAUCUUCUUUAGGGUUUUAGGGUGGGUUUGAACUACAAGUCACCUUAAUAAAUUUCCAAAAAUUCUGUAAAAAUUACUGUGGCUUAUUACUGGUGUAUGACUCUCUGUCUCAAAAUUUAAGGUUCUAGAAGUGAAUAGUUUUCUCUGGACAAAAUUGCCAAAUUUUAGGGCAGAAGGGGUGAUUUGAACUACAACUAUCAUUCAAUAGUAGGUAAUUCUCUAGGACUUAUUUUUGCUGGCAUUUAGAUGCUAUAACAUGAAUUGGUACAAAUUUCUAGCCAUUAAUACUUAUUAGUUAUUUUACUAGGAUUUUCUAAAGUGUCUGGCCAAAGGGGUGCUUUCUACUACCACUAUAUUUGAAAAAUAUCAAACAACAGAUUUUUGAUUUUUCCUAGCUUCUUCUUUGCGCAAGAGCAAUCAUUCUAAAGUUUGGCAUCUUUUUGCUUAAGGGAAGGGGUGGUAUGCAUUAAUUGGAUUAAAUGGCCUUUUUUUAUAAAAUAUUGGCAACAUGUAUUAUGUUGCAUCUUUUCAAUGGCUUUGUAUUUUUCUCUGGUGGCCUAUCUCAUUAUUGAUCUAGCAAAAUUUUAUUUGCCCAUUAUUGCAUUAUUUUGGGUUACUCGUCAUUUAUUUGGAAUAUGACUCAUUAUCAUAUUAUUUUUAUUUACCUUACUUAAAAUGAUGGGCUUGGGUGUUCCUUAUUUUUGCAGUGGGGUUUUGGUGGUUACAAGUCCACUGGAUUUUUAUUAUCAAUUUUUGGGUCUGGUUUUAUAAUUCUAAUAAUUGAUUUCUAGUUGGAAUAAUGCUAAAUAAAACAUUUCACUUUGAAUCUAAUCUGGACUAGAGGUUCCUUUAUUUUUCCUAGGUUCUUUGUUACUUAAGCAAACUAGGAAAAAAUAAUUUUAUCCAGUGGUCAUUAAUUUCUAAGGCCUUUCUGAUUUUCCUAAUGUUUGGGCAAAAAUGGCUUUUAAUAGAUAUCUCCACUAAAUUUUUCAAUACUGGGGUUCUCACUAUUUUUAAACAGUGUUUAAUUGGGGUUUGAACAUCUACAAAUUUUCUUAGGUUCAGCACAGAAGCAUAACUAAUUUUCCUUAAUUAAACAAGGUUUGGUCAGUUUGUGUAUUUAAUUUUAAACUCUAAAAAUUAGAACAGAAAGCAUAGGGUUCAAUAUUUUUAAUUGAUAGUCCAUAAUAUUUAGAAUCUAGCAAAAUUGGUUUGACAAUUUUUGGUUAAGCAUUUCUUAAGUUAUGAAUUUCCUAAGUUCUCUGUUUAUUAAAAAGAUUAAACAGAAAUGAUUAAAUGGAAAACUACUUUGCAACUGGGUCCCUGGCGGGUGUUUUCAAGUUUCCUUACAGACUAGUCCCUAGGCUACUAUUCAAUUGAGUCACUGACAUCUCAGAAAACCCCCUGGAUUCUUCUAAUCCUAACCCGAGGUCCUUCCCCCAAUUUAAACAGUAUCCGCGGUGGAAGAAAGGGCGGAGGGGCUUACCGGCGGCGAGACUGCUCCGGUGAGGUGGUCGAGGGUGUAAGGGAGGUCCCGAGGGUCACGGCGAUGUGCGGGUCGCCGUCGGGGAUGGUCGGAGUCGGCCGGUCCGCGUGCGCAGGCGGGGGAGCUCGUCGGCGGCGAGGAGUUCGACCUAUCCAGGGCACAAUUGACUGAUUGAACGGGUUAGAGAGCUUCACUGGGUGCUAGGGAAGACAUGGUUGCAAGGAAUUUGACAAAGGCUUACAGGAGAGCUCGGUCCACGCGCGGGGGCGGGCGACCGAAGUCCGGCGAGGGUGAUCUUGGGCUUCUGGUGAAGUUCUGCCGGGUCCGAGGACUUGGAAAGCUUCACGGGCCAAUGGCGAAGCUAACCGAAGCGCUGGCGCGACUUGGACGCGACUAGAGAGAGCUAGCCACGGCGGCCGAGGCUCUGAAAGCUUGGCGAGCGGUGGCGCGGCGUGCUCGGGGCAAUUUCCGGUGAUCUCUGACUUGGGCAAGACUUGAGAGCACGCGGGGAUGAAUGGCCGAGGCUUGGUGCGGCUUUAUAGGCACGACGCGGUGCACGGGCGGCCGUGGACCGGCGAGCGCGCGCGAGCGUGCACUGGGAGGCGCGGGUGCGUGAACGGGCGUGAACCGAAGGUGUCAGCCACGGUCGAACACGUGUGCCUGUUGCCUCUACCCAAGUUCUAGCACUGAUUGGGUGCAAAUCUUCGCAAAUUUGGGCAAGAUCGCUGUGAAGGAUUUGUUCACCUGACCUUGCUUUGUCUUUUGUGUAUGGACGUCGCACGGUUUUAGGCUAGGGACAGGGAGUUGUAGCAUCACCAAGGUGCCAGUGUCAGAAUGUCUGGUCCCGAGGUCAAACUGCGCCAAAACCGUGUCAAAAAAUUUGAUUUGAGUUCAAACUUUUCCAGGGCGUGUUCAAGGGAAUUUGGCACAACUUUGAUAUUUGGAUCUCCUGGUUUUGAGUUUCGAAAAAUAGAGAACACAGUUGAUCCUUGGAAAGAGGUCUGAAAUUCAGAAAUUCAGAAAUCUGAAUUUCUCCAAGGGUUCAUGGUUCAAGGGCUGAUUUGGGAAUUUUAAAAAAAUAAAUGGCCAAACUCUCUUACUAUGAUUUGUUAGUUAUUUGAUGAACUAAAACUUUGUAAUUUGGUCAUAUCUAAAAUCUGCAUUUUCCCCUCAUGACUUCUCCCAAUUACCCUUUAUGCCUAACUUGGCUUACUUAGGAUUUAUUAGGGUUUGAGAGUCUUUCUCUCUCAAGGUUCAUGACAAGAUUAAGGAGAGUUUAAGAAGAUUCAUUAUAAACCUUUGCUCUAAAUUUUAUUUUGAUGUUCAACCCUUUACUAAAUUUACAUGUGAUAAUAGGUUGGGGUUAGCUUAGGGAAGAACCCUAGGUGACACUGGGGUGUCACAACCGGGGCCGACAAAAAUAAAGCUCCUAUUUUCGUCGGCCACCGAGGCCGACGCAAAUACCCAGCCUAUUUUCGUCGGCCUUAGGGAAGCCGACGAAAAUAGGUCAUUUUCGUCGGUACCGAUGAAAUAGUUGCCUAUUUUCAUUGAACAUAUUUUUGGUGGCUAUUUUCGUCGGCAUGCCGAUGAAAAUAGCCUAUUUUCGUCGGUUUACACUUAUUUUCGUGGGUUUUUGGCCCACGAAAAUUUAGGCGUUUCCUGUAGUGAGGGUACUUAACCCUAAACCAGGCUUAGGAGUGAUGAUAAAGCUCAAGCAUGAGAAAACUUCAAAACUCAUGAGAAAUAAUCAUAAGAUAUCACCAUUAAUGGACUUAAAUGACACUCAAACCCUAGAGUGCCAAAAACCCUAAAAAGAACCCUGGAAAACCCUGAGUUGAAACCCUAGGGGGUUAUAUGUAAAUUUUGCACACUUUGGACCCAAGUGCAAAAACCAAGAUAUUAGGGUACCCCAAAGCAUAAGGUUCACACAUUUGAGGAUUUGUAAGCCAAAUGAUAAAGUUUGGACCUAUUUGCAAAAAGGACACCCCAUGUACCUCAUAUGCCUAAGUGUAAAAACCAAUUGAAUGAGGCUGGCUUUGGAGCUCUACGUCUUUGGAUUCUUGAAGUUUUUGUUAAGGGUCAACACAUAAAACUUGUAGAGCUACUAUAGGAGUACAAAUUUUAUUAAGUACUUAAGCCUUGGUAUUGUACAAAAUUAGGAGUUAAAUGGGUCUGAAGUUUGGCUGUCAGGCUGAGAAUCUGUAUGGUUCAGAAAAACCAGUGGUACAGGGCCAACUUCAGGAUCAGGUGGAGCUCGAUUUAAUGGGUAAUUGGCUAAGACCUUUAUAGCAAGAUUAAAGUUGGAUUAUAGGGGAGUAACUUUGGUACAGUCUUCUUCUCUGGUUGUUGUACAAAAAUUAAUGAAACAAUAGCCCAAAGUUGCUCUGUCAGAACUGUGUUGAGAUACUAAAACUGAAUUCUAGAACAUGAAUGGUCACAGUGGAAUGGGGCCGAAUUGGAAGCGCCAUAUCUUUAAUUCCAUUCAGUUUUGUACCAAGGAUCCUAUAGUAAGUUUGAAGACUGAUGUUCAGUAAACAAUCUUUAUUAAUGGAGAUCACCUUGUUCUUAACACAAAUCAAAAGAAAAGGAGGGUGAAAGGGGGUCGGUUCAGAAAAGUGCUGAAGAUCAGGACACCGAAAUAUCUGAAAAAGCGAGGACAAAGAUUAGGGGCACUAUAGAAUCAGAUGUAUUUGAGUGAUUUGGGGUAAGAAUCGACCGCGGGGAGAUGGCGUCGGACGUGUCGCGAUCCCACAGACCUAGCCCGAGCCUAGCCGGAGAUAAUUCACCGGCGG